GGCUAUGUAGUCAAAUUAAUGAUGUUAAAUUGCAAAUUUAAAGUUAAAAUUAUUUCUUAGCUU
This 63-nucleotide transfer RNA is filed under the name Scolytinae sp. BMNH 1274282. Its description in RNAcentral is "tRNA-Cys". Lineage: Eukaryota; Metazoa; Arthropoda; Insecta; Coleoptera; Curculionidae. The record is from RNAcentral.